UCCAGACUCCUACGGGAGGCAGCAGUGGGGGAUAUUGCACAAUGGGGAAACCCUGAUGCAGCGACGCCGCGUGGGCGAAGAAGUAUUUCGGUAUGUAAAGCCCUAUCAGCAGGGAAGAAGAAAUGACGGUACCUGAGUAAGAAGCACCGGCUAAAUACGUGCCAGCAGCCGCGGUAAUACGUAUGGUGCAAGCGUUAUCCGGAUUUACUGGGUGUAAAGGGAGCGCAGGCGGCACGGCAAGCCUGAUGUGAAAGCCCGCGGCCCAACCGCGGGACUGCAUUGGGAACUACCGGGCUGGAGUGCCGGAGAGGUAGGCGGAAUUCCUAGUGUAGCGGUGAAAUGCAUAGAUAUCACGCAGAACUCCGAUUGCGAAGGCAGCGCACCGGCGCCCUACUGACGCUCAGGCACGAAAGCGUGGGUAUCGAACAGGAUUAGAUACCCGAGUA
RNAcentral lists this ribosomal RNA (446 nucleotides) under uncultured bacterium. Its description in RNAcentral is "bacterial SSU rRNA". It matches the Rfam family "Bacterial small subunit ribosomal RNA", at positions 330 to 792 of the family's 1533-position model. The record is from RNAcentral.